AUUGAACGCUGGCGGAAUGCUUUACACAUGCAAGUCGAGCGGCAGCGCGGGGGCAACCCUGGCGGCGAGCGGCGAACGGGUGAGUAAUAUAUCGGAACGUACCCCGUCGUGGGGGAUAACACAGCGAAAGCUGUGCUAAUACCGCAUACGACCUGAGGGUGAAAGCGGGGGAUCGCAAGACCUCGCGCGAUGGGAGCGGCCGAUAUCGGAUUAGCUUGUUGGUGAGGUAAAGGCUCACCAAGGCGACGAUCCGUAGCUGGUCUGAGAGGACGACCAGCCACACUGGAACUGAGACACGGUCCAGACUCCUACGGGAGGCAGCAGUGGGGAAUUUUGGACAAUGGGCGCAAGCCUGAUCCAGCCAUGCCGCGUGAGUGAAGAAGGCC
RNAcentral lists this ribosomal RNA (386 nucleotides) under uncultured bacterium. Its description in RNAcentral is "bacterial SSU rRNA". It matches the Rfam family "Bacterial small subunit ribosomal RNA", at positions 29 to 416 of the family's 1533-position model. The record is from RNAcentral.